AGUGAAUGCUGGCGGUAGGCCUAACACAUGCAAGUCGAACGGCAGCACAGUAAGAGCUUGCUCUUACGGGUGGCGAGUGGCGGACGGGUGAGGAAUACAUCGGAAUCUACUUUUUCGUGGGGGAUAACGUAGGGAAACUUACGCUAAUACCGCAUACGACCUACGGGUGAAAGCAGGGGAUCUUCGGACCUUGCGCGAUUGAAUGAGCCGAUGUCGGAUUAGCUAGUUGGCGGGGUAAAGGCCCACCAAGGCGACGAUCCGUAGCUGGUCUGAGAGGAUGAUCAGCCACACUGGAACUGAGACAAGGUCCAGACUCCUACGGGAGGCAGCAGUGGGGAAUAUUGGACAAUGGGCGCAAGCCUGAUCCAGCCAUACCGCGUGGGUGAAGAAGGCCUUCGGGUUGUAAAGCCCUUUUGUUGGGAAAGAAAAGCAGCAGGUUAAUACCCCGCUGUUCUGACGGUACCCAAAGAAUAAGCACCGGCUAACUUCGUG
Molecule: ribosomal RNA, 492 nt
Filed under: uncultured bacterium
Lineage: Bacteria
Description: partial 16S ribosomal RNA
Rfam family: Bacterial small subunit ribosomal RNA
Source: RNAcentral